This 253-nucleotide ribosomal RNA is filed under the name uncultured bacterium. Its description in RNAcentral is "partial 16S ribosomal RNA". It matches the Rfam family "Bacterial small subunit ribosomal RNA", at positions 524 to 776 of the family's 1533-position model. The record is from RNAcentral.
UACGUAGGGUGCGAGCGUUAAUCGGAAUUACUGGGCGUAAAGCGUGCGCAGGCGGUUAUGUAAGACAGGUGUGAAAGCCCCGGGCUUAACCUGGGAACUGCGUUUGAAACUGGGAGACUUGAGUGUGGCAGAGGGGGGUGGAAUUCCACGUGUAGCAGUGAAAUGCGUAGAUAUGUGGAGGAACACCAAUGGCGAAGGCAGCCCCCUGGGUCAACACUGACGCUCAUGCACGAAAGCGUGGGGAGCAAACAGG